GUGGGGAAUCUUGCGCAAUGGGCGAAAGCCUGACGCAGCCAUGCCGCGUGAAUGAUGAAGGUCUUAGGAUUGUAAAAUUCUUUCACCGGGGACGAUAAUGACGGUACCCGGAGAAGAAGCCCCGGCUAACUUCGUGCCAGCAGCCGCGGUAAUACGAAGGGGGCUAGCGUUGCUCGGAAUUACUGGGCGUAAAGGGCGCGUAGGCGGAUCGUUAAGUCAGGGGUGAAAUCCCAGAGCUCAACUCUGGAACUGCCCUUGAUACUGGCGAUCUUGAGUGUGAGAGAGGUAUGUGGAACUCCGAGUGUAGAGGUGAAAUUCGUAGAUAUUCGGAAGAACACCUGUGGCGAAGGCGACAUACUGGCUCAUUACUGACGCUGAGGCGCGAAAGCGUGGGGAGCAAACAGGAUUAGAAACCCGAGUAGUCC
This 425-nucleotide ribosomal RNA is filed under the name uncultured bacterium. Its description in RNAcentral is "partial 16S ribosomal RNA". It matches the Rfam family "Bacterial small subunit ribosomal RNA", at positions 354 to 796 of the family's 1533-position model. The record is from RNAcentral.